ACUGUUCUGGGUGUUUGCUUCAAACGUGAAGAGGCAACCCAGCAGGAGUAAUUGAAAUUAGAGGUGGAUGAUUAUCUGCUUGGUGCCAAUAGGACUGCAUAAUUGUUUUAAUGACACAUAGACUCUUCGUUUUCCCUGCGUUAGGGUUUUCUUGUCCUUCGCAGAGUCCAACCACACCUUCACCUCCGCCGACAUCGUCUUCUUCUUCUUCGGGUAUUUCCACUGGCGUGGUGGUUGGAAUCACCAUGGGGGCGACGAUGAGUACUAUGCUCCGCCGCAGCAACCGCUGCGGGGACCCAGUAAUAAAGAGUUUACAAGAAUUCAAGAUCGGAUUUUCUUUAAGAAAGAAUGUAUGAUGAUAUUAUGUAUAGGAACAUGAAGUAGGUUUGGAACUAGAAUAAAAUUUUUGUAUUUUUGUGUAAUUUUUAUUUUGGGUCUUAUAAUUACUUUUUUUCCUAUUUGCUUCUAUUGCAUUUUUAU
This is a long non-coding RNA of Vigna angularis (adzuki bean), 480 nucleotides long. RefSeq lists it as uncharacterized. The record is from RefSeq and is a predicted model, not a curated record. The transcript has 3 exons. NCBI's taxonomy places the organism in Eukaryota, Viridiplantae, Streptophyta, Magnoliopsida, Fabales, Fabaceae.